RNAcentral lists this ribosomal RNA (457 nucleotides) under uncultured Erysipelotrichaceae bacterium. RNAcentral's name for it is "partial 16S ribosomal RNA". Lineage: Bacteria; Bacillati; Bacillota; Erysipelotrichia; Erysipelotrichales; Erysipelotrichaceae. The record is from RNAcentral.
CACGUAGUUAGCCGUGACUUUCUGGCGGGGCACCAUCAGUCAGCACCCAUUUCCUGAUGCUGCCUUUUUUCCCCCGCAACAGAGCUUUACGACCCGAAGGCCUUCUUCACUCACGCGGCAUCGCUCGUUCAGGCUUGCGCCCAUUGACGAAAACUCCCUACUGCUGCCUCCCGCAGGAGUCUGGGCCGUGUCUCAGUCCCAAUGUGGCCGUCCGCCCUCUCAGGCCGGCUAUGCAUCAUCGUCUUGGUGGGCCUUUACCCCGCCAACCAACUAAUGCACCGCAGGUCCAUCCGCGCCCCAUCCCCUAAAGGAUGUUUCACAGAAAGAAGAUGCCUCCUUCCUGUACAGUCGGGUACUUCGUUCCUUCCGUUUCCAGAGUCGUACUUCCCGGUGCCGCGGGCUACGGUUCCCUACGUCGUUACCCCGACCGUUCGCCACGUAGACGACCCGAAGUCUC